RNAcentral lists this ribosomal RNA (1388 nucleotides) under uncultured beta proteobacterium. RNAcentral's name for it is "bacterial SSU rRNA". It matches the Rfam family "Bacterial small subunit ribosomal RNA". Lineage: Bacteria; Pseudomonadati; Pseudomonadota; Betaproteobacteria. The record is from RNAcentral.
UAGAGUUUGAUCCUGGCUCAGAUUGAACGCUGGCGGAAUGCUUUACACAUGCAAGUCGAACGGCAGCACGGGAGCUUGCUCCUGGUGGCGAGUGGCGAACGGGUGAGUAAUGUAUCGGAACGUACCCCGUCGUGGGGGAUAACUCUCCGAAAGGAGAGCUAAUACCGCAUACGACCCGAGGGUGAAAGCGGGGGACCUGGGGUAACCUGGGCCUCGCGCGAUGGGAGCGGCCGAUAUCGGAUUAGCUAGUUGGUGGGGUAAAGGCCUACCAAGGCGACGAUCCGUAGCGGGUCUAAGAGGACGACCCGCCACACUGGAACUGAGACACGGUCCAGACUCCUACGGGAGGCAGCAGUGGGGAAUUUUGGACAAUGGGCGCAAGCCUGAUCCAGCCAUUCCGCGUGAGUGAAGAAGGCCUUCGGGUUGUAAAGCUCUUUCAGCAGGAACGAAACGGUGGUCUUAAUACGGCCUGCUAAUGACGGUACCUGCAGAAGAAGCACCGGCUAACUACGUGCCAGCAGCCGCGGUAAUACGUAGGGUGCGAGCGUUAAUCGGAAUUACUGGGCGUAAAGCGUGCGCAGGCGGCGACAUAAGACAGAUGUGAAAUCCCCGGGCUCAACCUGGGAACGGCGUUUGUGACUGUGUGGCUAGAGUGUAGCAGAGGGGGGUGGAAUUCCACGUGUAGCAGUGAAAUGCGUAGAGAUGUGGAGGAACACCGAUGGCGAAGGCAGCCCCCUGGGUUAACACUGACGCUCAUGCACGAAAGCGUGGGGAGCAAACAGGAUUAGAUACCCUGGUAGUCCACGCCCUAAACGAUGCCAACUAGGUGUUGGGGGAGGAGACUUCCUUAGUACCGUAGCUAACGCGUGAAGUUGGCCGCCUGGGGAGUACGGUCGCAAGAUUAAAACUCAAAGGAAUUGACGGGGACCCGCACAAGCGGUGGAUGAUGUGGAUUAAUUCGAUGCAACGCGAAAAACCUUACCUACCCUUGACAUGUCCGGAAUCCCGAAGAGAUUUGGGAGUGCUCGAAAGAGAGCCGGAACACAGGUGCUGCAUGGCUGUCGUCAGCUCGUGUCGUGAGAUGUUGGGUUAAGUCCCGCAACGAGCGCAACCCUUAUCAUUAGUUGCCAUCAUUGAGUUGGGCACUCUAACGAGACUGCCGGUGACAAACCGGAGGAAGGUGGGGAUGACGUCAAGUCCUCAUGGCCCUUAUGGGUAGGGCUUCACACGUCAUACAAUGGUCGGUACAGAGGGUUGCCAACCCGCGAGGGGGAGCUAAUCUCACAAAGCCGAUCGUAGUCCGGAUCGCAGUCUGCAACUCGACUGCGUGAAGUCGGAAUCGCUAGUAAUCGUGGAUCAGCAUGUCACGGUGAAUACGUUCCCGGGUC